GCCAAGGGCCCAUGGGAGAUGGGUUUUGUUAUCCAGACGCUGGAGAGAGGGGUCCUGGGGAGAAAAGCUGGAAACCUCACACCCAGGGCAUUCCCCCAAGUCUCCUCUCCUCUGAGCCCUGCUUCUCUGACUCCUCACAGAGCAUCUCACCACCAGGAUGCCGCCCUCCAGGACCCCCAACUCUGCCCAUCUCAGAACCGGCCCUGUCCUGGCAGCUCCACCAGAAUCUGAAACACUCCACCAGAAUCAGGAAACAGUCAGACAACCCUUUUUAUACCAGGGUUGCCCUGUAACAGUUUGGUGCAGUAAAGAAAAGGGGAGCCAAGCUAAACUUUCUCAAAGGAAGGGAAAAUUCAUUGCGCCCCCGGGCGAUCUUCGUGGACCCAAGGUGCUUCACCAGUUUCGUUGCCUGCCUGGCCCUUCACCUGCUCUGCUCCAGGGACAUCUGUGCUGCCCAGACUUCUGUGCUGCAGUCCUGUGAGUCUCAUGCUACUCCUGGCCCAUCUGACUGGGCCCAGCCCGAGCCUCUCGAGAGCCUCAACCUUCCCUGGUGUACUCCUGUUCCCCAUGGCCACUGAGUGGUUGUGCUUUGGGGGUGGAGGUCUUCUGCCGGGUAUGGCGCUAUUUUCAAUCUUUGUUGCUCUCCAGUUCCAAUGCUGCACAGCAGCAACAAAAUUCCAGGAUAAUUUCUAAUACCCUAUCUCUGGCCCUGAUGAUUGCUGAAGGGGCCACUGCACUGAAAGGCCAGCCACGUCUUGGGGGAGGUCUUAGGGUGGUGCUGGAGGGCUGGGGAGCUGG
Long non-coding RNA from Talpa occidentalis (Iberian mole), 798 nucleotides. RefSeq lists it as uncharacterized. The record is from RefSeq and is a predicted model, not a curated record. Lineage: Eukaryota; Metazoa; Chordata; Mammalia; Eulipotyphla; Talpidae. The transcript is spliced from 3 exons.